RNAcentral lists this long non-coding RNA (644 nucleotides) under Olea europaea subsp. europaea. The record is from RNAcentral. Lineage: Eukaryota; Viridiplantae; Streptophyta; Magnoliopsida; Lamiales; Oleaceae.
CUUCCGUCUACUCAUAAAGCUAUACCAUUGCUCCCAUGAAACCAACCAAUUGUAAUAAUAAGAACAACAGAUCAGGCAUUAAAAAUCGGGCCAGUAAGUUAUAAUGGAAAGCAGCAUAUGGUAUCUUGAUUUUGCAUUCCCACCAAUGCUCGGGGACAAUGAUUUUACCGAUGCCGGAUUGGUACUCAAUUCUCGUGCUCCGCAACAGCUCGAACGGGUGUUUGUGUUGCUCCCACAGUUAUUCCCAGUUGUUCUUCAUUUGCGAUGUGGUCCAAUUCUUUUCUGCCGUCCAAUUGAAGAUCUCUGCGAUACGCUGCCAUCCUUUGUGGAGAAGCAUUUGCCACAUUGGUGGCCUUUAGCAGUCACCGUUUCGCACGUUGCAAUGAAAAUCUUGUGCUCUGGUGAGUUCCAUUUGGCAGCCUGCCGCACCGUUGGCUGUGUGUCUUGGGGGUCGGAUGCAGAAGAAUGCAUCGGGUGGAUGCCACUCAUUUUAUGUAACGUAGUUUUGCCAUAAGUGUACGAUAUCAAGUUUUGUAGUAUAUUGAUAAAAUAAAAAGUGUCGAACCCUCAGGGAUUGAUAAUUGAAUCAUAUGGAGUACUUUAAUGAUUUUGAAUUUUCACUUUAUUUAGACGAUCAAAUGUUA